UGGAUUGCCCUGCUGUGGGGUGAU
Molecule: non-coding RNA, 24 nt
Filed under: Arabidopsis thaliana (thale cress)
Lineage: Eukaryota; Viridiplantae; Streptophyta; Magnoliopsida; Brassicales; Brassicaceae
Source: RNAcentral